GACGAACGCUGGCGGCGUGCCUAAUACAUGCAAGUAGAACGCUGAAGGAGGAGCUUGCUCUUCUGGAUGAGUUGCGAACGGGUGAGUAACGCGUAGGUAACCUGCCUGGUAGCGGGGGAUAACUAUUGGAAACGAUAGCUAAUACCGCAUAACAGUAGAUGCUGCAUGACAUUUGCUUAAAAGGUGCAAUUGCAUCACUACCAGAUGGACCUGCGUUGUAUUAGCUAGUUGGUGGGGUAACGGCUCACCAAGGCGACGAUACAUAGCCGACCUGAGAGGGUGAUCGGCCACACUGGGACUGAGACACGGCCCAGACUCCUACGGGAGGCAGCAGUAGGGAAUCUUCGGCAAUGGACGGAAGUCUGACCGAGCAACGCCGCGGGAGUGAAGAAGGUUUUCGGAUCGUAAAGCUCUGUUGUAAGAGAAGAACGAGUGUGAGAGUGGAAAGUUCACACUGUGACGGUAUCUUACCAGAAAGAGACGGCUAACUACGUG
RNAcentral lists this ribosomal RNA (495 nucleotides) under uncultured bacterium. Its description in RNAcentral is "partial 16S ribosomal RNA". It matches the Rfam family "Bacterial small subunit ribosomal RNA", at positions 28 to 507 of the family's 1533-position model. The record is from RNAcentral.